CCUUCUGCCACGUGUACGUGGACGUCCACCUUUCCCUGGUUGGUGAGGUGGUGUAUAGUUCUGGAGAUCUUCCACAUGCAUUGUCAAUGUUGUCAUUUCAUCGAUCAAGCCAGACAUGUUUUGUUCAGUCCUGAAGGCAUAGUCGUGCUGAUCAUGCUGCAUUUGGCGUAGGAGUUGCAUCAUUUCAGUUUGCUGAGCUCCCAUGGUUUGGAGAUAUAGGUCUUGUUG
Molecule: long non-coding RNA, 228 nt
Filed under: Lathyrus oleraceus (garden pea)
Lineage: Eukaryota; Viridiplantae; Streptophyta; Magnoliopsida; Fabales; Fabaceae
Description: Pisum sativum (pea) long non-coding RNA (PSAT_LNC003375)
Source: RNAcentral